GAUGAAGACGCAGCGAAAUGCGAAAAGUAAUGUGAAUUGCAGAAUUCAGUGAAUCAUCGAAUCUUUGAACGCACAUUGCGCCCGCUGGUACUCCGGCGGGCACGCCUGUCCGAGCGUCAUUUCAACCCUCAAGCCCUCCUUCGGGAUGGGCCUGGUGUUGGGGCUCGGCCGCCAUCUCCGGCGGCCGUCCCCUAAAUACAGUGGCGGUCACGUCGCGACUCCUUUGCGUAGUAGAAACACCUCGCUCCGGAUAGCAACGCGGUCCACGCCGUAAAACCCCCAAUUUUCAAUGGUUGACCUCGGAUCAGGUGGGAAUACCCGCUGAACUUAAGCAUAUCAAUAAGCGGAGGA
RNAcentral lists this unclassified non-coding RNA (351 nucleotides) under soil metagenome. RNAcentral's name for it is "partial contains 5.8S ribosomal RNA, internal transcribed spacer 2, and large subunit ribosomal RNA". The stretch from base 1 to 119 matches the Rfam family "5.8S ribosomal RNA", at positions 35 to 154 of the family's 154-position model. The record is from RNAcentral.